CUCGUAGGCGGUUCGUCGCGUCCGGUGUGAAAGUCCAUCGCUUAACGGUGGAUCCGCGCCGGGUACGGGCGGGCUUGAGUGCGGUAGGGGAGACUGGAAUUCCCGGUGUAACGGUGGAAUGUGUAGAUAUCGGGUGGAACACCGGUGGCGAAGGCGACCCUCUGGGCCGAGACCGACGCUGAGGCGCGAAAGCUGGGGGAGCGAACA
This 207-nucleotide ribosomal RNA is filed under the name uncultured bacterium. RNAcentral describes it as "partial 16S ribosomal RNA". It matches the Rfam family "Bacterial small subunit ribosomal RNA", at positions 568 to 774 of the family's 1533-position model. The record is from RNAcentral.